CAAUGACAGUGACGAUGAUGAUGACAAUUAUUAUGACAACAGGGCAGUGCUGAAUAGCCUUCUCAUCAUCAUCAUCAUCAUCGUCAUCAUCAUGA
Molecule: microRNA precursor, 95 nt
Filed under: Bigelowiella natans CCMP2755
Lineage: Eukaryota; Cercozoa; Chlorarachniophyceae
Description: miRNA EPrBNAG00000013635
Source: RNAcentral